This is a long non-coding RNA of Triticum urartu, 1105 nucleotides long. RefSeq lists it as uncharacterized. Lineage: Eukaryota; Viridiplantae; Streptophyta; Magnoliopsida; Poales; Poaceae. The record is from RefSeq and is a predicted model, not a curated record.
CUUUCCUCCCCCGCGCACCCCUCUCGCUCGCUGUCCCGACUGAGUCGAGCCACCAUGCCGCGGCACAAGGCCGGCCGCUGGCGACGAGCGCCACCGCACCACGAUGCGCGAGCCUGCCCUUUCCCCCCUCCAUUCCUUUUACAGAGAGAGAGGGACUCUCGCGGCCACCUCUGCUCUCCUUGUCUCGCUCCCGACUGCGCCGUUGCUUUUGACGCCGGUCGCCGGCAGCCGGAGACGGGGUUGAGCUCCGCCUUUCCCUGGCGAGCUCUUCUCCAUUCCCCCUUUCCUCCCUUCAAUCUACUACUUCUCCUUGUGCAGCAACAGAGAGAGAUGAUGCGGGUUUCGAUGCAGUGCCUUGGCCAUCCCCUUCGCCGGCUGCGCAUCCGCCUUGCGGUGAGCGCGCCGCCGUCGAGCGGUUUGGCUGCGGUGCCUACUUUGAGCUUUUCCUUUGCCCCGUGAGGGGUGGUACCUUCGUCCGACGCCUCGGCUUGCCGAUGCGCAUCGAGAUCGAGAGGGUCAGCGCGGCCUUACGGCGGCACUCUUUGCCGGCGAGGCCUGAGGCCCUCUCCGGUGGUCUUUGCCCUGUUCUAGGGUUCUUUUGGGGAGAGAUCAGAGUAGCGACCAAGUUGGUAGCCCAGCCACCGCUUGGGCACCGGCGGCAUCCAGCGGUCAUGGAGCACCGGCGGCUUGGGCUCUAGGGCCACACGCCGGUGUCGAGCACCCUGCUGCCACCCCGACGACCACGCCGCGACCGCCCGCGUCCCGCACGGGCACACCCAGCGGUGCUCCUGAAGAUUGUUGCACUCUGGAUGAAUUUUUGGAUCAGGUGGAGGGAGGGCGCAUUCGUGCAUCUCGGCCAACUCGCCGCUGACGUUCCAGAUGGACCUGCCGGCGACCUUGAUCGAUGUUAAGGAGCUCCGCGCCCUCCACCUCGUCGUCGAUAUGACGCUGCUUUUCUUUCGCAAAAAAAAAGGAUAUGACGCUGCUUUUGAGUACUGUACGUCCAAGGCAGGCAUGCAGUUUGUCACGUGUAUACAUACCGUAACUAGGUUGGACACCGAACAAUAAUGACUUGUUCCACGUCGUCUUCUUUUUUGAGCUGUCC